CAAGCAGUGGCCCCUGCUAUGUGGGCUGAUGGGAGCACACCGUCCAAGCAGCACUUCAAGUCUGACAAUGUCCCCUCUACACCAAGGUAGGUGGGCACUCGUGCAAAGAUCUAACAUCUUCACCGACUAGGACUAAGGAAGGAAUGAGCCCGGAGCUCGACACCCCAUCCAAUGGGCUUAAGUCUUAAGAAACUUCAGUGCAUACUUAACAUGGAGCAGCCUAUGGACAAUGAUUGCUUCAACACCGUCGUGCGUAUACUGGCAUGUGACGAGGGAGUAUUGUUCAUAGACCCUCCUAUAUACACUACAUGGAUCUAAGAUUUUGUUCCAAGAUGCUAGAGU
Molecule: long non-coding RNA, 342 nt
Organism: Triticum aestivum (bread wheat)
Lineage: Eukaryota; Viridiplantae; Streptophyta; Magnoliopsida; Poales; Poaceae
Exons: 3
Source: RefSeq, a predicted model, not a curated record